UACGUAGGGGGCCAGCGUUGCUCGGAAUUACUGGGCGUAAAGGGUCCGUAGGCGGUGCGGCAAGUCGAGAGUGAAAUCCCUAGGCUUAACCUAGGGGCUGCUAGCGAAACUGCCGUGCUAGAGUGUGAGAGAGGCGAGUGGAAUUCCUGGUGUAGCGGUGAAAUGCGCAGAUAUCAGGAGGAACACCAAUGGCGAAGGCAGCUCGCUGGGACGUGACUGACGCUGAGACGCGAAAGCGUGGGGAGCAAACAG
Molecule: ribosomal RNA, 252 nt
Filed under: uncultured bacterium
Lineage: Bacteria
Description: partial 16S ribosomal RNA
Rfam family: Bacterial small subunit ribosomal RNA
Source: RNAcentral